Molecule: non-coding RNA, 211 nt
Filed under: Aureococcus anophagefferens
Lineage: Eukaryota; Pelagophyceae; Pelagomonadales; Pelagomonadaceae
Description: Eukaryotic small subunit ribosomal RNA
Rfam family: Eukaryotic small subunit ribosomal RNA
Source: Rfam by way of RNAcentral
UCAGUUAUAGUUUAUUUGAUAGUCCCUUACUACAUGGAUACCCGUAGUAAUUCUAGAGCUAAUACAUGCAUCGACUCCCAACUGCUUCGGCGGACGGGACGUAUUUAUUAGAUUGAAACCAAUGCGGGGGAGACCCCGGUAUUGUGGUGAGUCAUGAUAACUUUGCGAAUCGCAUGGCCUUGUGCCGGCGAUGGAUCAUUCAAGUUUCUGC